ACCUAGACAUUUGGGUGAUGUGGCAAGCAAUAAAUGAAAAAAGAAAUAGUCCAUAUCAUAAUAUAAUAUGGUACCAGUAACAUAACAUUUCCUGAGGCACCAUUUGUCUUGCAAAGCAACAGAUGGAUGCACUGUGAUAUCAUGUUUAUAAUACCAUGCAUGAAGGUAACAAUAUAGAGUAGCAUCGCAUGUUACUGUAUGUUACUGUUACAUUUAUGGUACUCCUCUGACCAGUCUAAAGAGUAAAAAAAAAACUUUAAAGUGACGACACACUACUCUGUGUAGAAUUCUGCGGGUUAACUAGUACACCGCAAAAUACGUGUACAACCGUACGUAUCC
Molecule: long non-coding RNA, 339 nt
Filed under: Brachypodium distachyon (stiff brome)
Lineage: Eukaryota; Viridiplantae; Streptophyta; Magnoliopsida; Poales; Poaceae
Description: long non-coding RNA (BDIS_LNC003920)
Source: RNAcentral